RNAcentral lists this ribosomal RNA (460 nucleotides) under uncultured bacterium. RNAcentral's name for it is "partial 16S ribosomal RNA". It matches the Rfam family "Bacterial small subunit ribosomal RNA", at positions 338 to 795 of the family's 1533-position model. The record is from RNAcentral.
CCUACGGGGAGCAGCAGUGAGGAAUAUUGGUCAAUGGGCGGAAGCCUGAACCAGCCAAGUCGCGUGCAGGAUGGCGGCCCUACGGGUUGUAAACUGCUUUUUUACGGGAAUAACGCGCCUUCCGUGGCGCGCUUUGCAUGUACCGUAUGAAUCAGGUCUGCCUAAUUCGGUGCCACCAGCCGGGGUAAUGCGGAAAGUCCGGGGGUUUCCGGGAUGUAUUGGGGUUAAGGGUGGCGGAGGCCGAGUGUCAAGCGUCCUGGGAACUGUCCGUGCUCACACCGGGCCUUACACCGCGAACUUGCGUGAUUGAGGCGGCGGAGAGCAGGCGGAAUUGGUCGGGUAGCGGUGAAAUGCUUAGAUAUGACGAAGAACCCCGAGUGCGAAGGCAGCUUGCUGCAGCGGAACUGACGCUGAUGCUCGAAAGCGCGGGUAUCGAACAGGAUUAGAUACCCUGGUAGUC